RNAcentral lists this long non-coding RNA (229 nucleotides) under Physcomitrium patens. Its description in RNAcentral is "long non-coding RNA (PPAT_LNC008465)". The record is from RNAcentral. Lineage: Eukaryota; Viridiplantae; Streptophyta; Bryopsida; Funariales; Funariaceae.
AUUUCUUUUAUGAAUUUAUUGCAAUUCAUCUUCUAUCUAUCAAAUGACUAUAUCUCUCAUCAUUUUUUUCUUUGUUCCAUUUCUUGGUAUAUUAACAGCAAUCUCAUGUCACGGACACAAAAUACAGACUUGAAAUCUAACAAGAAGUUCAAGGAGAAGUGGCAGAACUAGAUUAAACAGAUGAGUACAAGAACAACACCAGAAAGGUGAGCUAGAACUCCAAGAGAUG